CUCAACAACAACAGCAGCAGCAGCAGCAGCCACUGUGACACACGACAGGAAGAAACUCCUCUGAACCACAACUGCCGCCACAGCCCCUACGGCCGAUUUGAACACAGACCCGAGACAAGAUGUCUGACUGGGAAGACAAAGAGGAAGUGCAUCUGUGUGUGCAGUGAAGUAAAAGGAAGCAUCAUGAGUGGACAACAAACGUUGAUUUGUAUGUGUGCGCGCACCUGUGCGCGAUUGAGAUCUUGGGGUCUUACAAGAAAAAAAUAGAGGGACAACAGCAAUUUGCAGGAAUGUGAACCAGGGGGCAUUAACUACAAUGACCCAACAGAGUGGGUAAGGUAGGUCGUUGUAGGGCUCCGUCACCUUCAGCAUCUCCACCAGCUUCUCGCGGUUGUACACAGUGCCAAUCUCCUGGCCCAGCACACAGUCCAGGAGCUUGCUGAUGGGCCACGACAGCGGGAAGGUGAGCAGCAUGAACAGCUUAGUGACCAGGAUGGUGUUGGCACCCACCGCCAGGCCAGUGGCGUGAACACAGUGCUUGGGGCACGAUCUCACCGAAGAUCACGAUGCCCACUGUGGAGGCUACCACUGCGCCCACGCCUGACUUGGUCAGGUCAUCCAGCAGAAUAUGCCGCAACUCUGCACGAUACGCAGCUCCAUGGGGUCCAGAGCCAUCAGGCCCAGGUUUAGCCCACUGAACAUGCCCGACAGGACCAGCAAGAAGGAGAUGAUGAUCACCUGCAGUGGUGGGAAGAAAGCAAGUGCAAAUAUUUGCUUAUUGUACUUACUUACUAAGUAGUAGUCGUUCAGGUAUCUUAAGUACUUAUUUUUCUGACGACUUCUUACUUUUUACUACCACAUUUGAAAACAGAUACUAUUCACAAAAAGUUGGG
Phycodurus eques (leafy seadragon) is the source of this 893-nucleotide long non-coding RNA. RefSeq lists it as uncharacterized. The record is from RefSeq and is a predicted model, not a curated record. The transcript has 3 exons. NCBI's taxonomy places the organism in Eukaryota, Metazoa, Chordata, Actinopteri, Syngnathiformes, Syngnathidae.